CUGCGGCAGCGACGCUGAUGCGUUGUUGGGUAGGGGAGCGUUCUGUAAGCCUGUGAAGGUGGCCUGUGAGGGUUGCUGGAGGUAUCAGAAGUGCGAAUGCUGACAUAAGUAACGAUAAAGCGGGUGAAAAGCCCGCUCGCCGGAAGACCAAGGGUUCCUGUCCAACGUUAAUCGGGGCAGGGUGAGUCGACCCCUAAGGCGAGGCCGAAAGGCGUAGUCGAUGGGAAACGGGUUAAUAUUCCCGUACUUGGUGUUACUGCGAAGGGGGGACGGAGAAGGCUAUGUUGGCCGGGCGACGGUUGUCCCGGUUUAAGCGUGUAGGUGUGUGUUCCAGGUAAAUCCGGUUCACUUUAACACUGAGGCGUGAUGACGAGGCACUACGGUGCUGAAGCAACAAAUGCCCUGCUUCCAGGAAAAGCCUCUAAGCAUCAGGUAACAUCAAAUCGUACCCCAAACCGACACAGGUGGUCAGGUAGAGAAUACCAAGGCGCUUGAGAGAACUCGGGUGAAGGAACUAGGCAAAAUGGUGCCGUAACUUCGGGAGAAGGCACGCUGACACGUAGGUGAAGUGAUUUACUCAUGGAGCUGAAGUCAGUCGAAGAUACCAGCUGGCUGCAACUGUUUAUUAAAAACACAGCACUGUGCAAACACGAAAGUGGACGUAUACGGUGUGACGCCUGCCCGGUGCCGGAAGGUUAAUUGAUGGGGUCAGCGCAAGCGAAGCUCCUGAUCGAAGCCCCGGUAAACGGCGGCCGUAACUAUAACGGUCCUAAGGUAGCGAAAUUCCUUGUCGGGUAAGUUCCGACCUGCACGAAUGGCGUAAUGAUGGCCAGGCUGUCUCCACCCGAGACUCAGUGAAAUUGAACUCGCUGUGAAGAUGCAGUGUACCCGCGGCAAGACGGAAAGACCCCGUGAACCUUUACUAUAGCUUGACACUGAACAUUGAGCCUUGAUGUGUAGGAUAGGUGGGAGGCUUUGAAGUGUGGACGCCAGUCUGCAUGGAGCCGGCCUUGAAAUACCACCCUUUAAUGUUUGAUGUUCUAACGUGGACCCGUGAUCCGGGUUGCGGACAGUGUCUGGUGGGUAGUUUGACUGGGGCGGUCUCCUCCUAAAGAGUAACGGAGGAGCACGAAGGUUGGCUAAUCCUGGUCGGACAUCAGGAGGUUAGUGCAAUGGCAUAAGCCAGCUUGACUGCGAGCGUGACGGCGCGAGCAGGUGCGAAAGCAGGUCAUAGUGAUCCGGUGGUUCUGAAUGGAAGGGCCAUCGCUCAACGGAUAAAAGGUACUCCGGGGAUAACAGGCUGAUACCGCCCAAGAGUUCAUAUCGACGGCGGUGUUUGGCACCUCGAUGUCGGCUCAUCACAUCCUGGGGCUGAAGUAGGUCCCAAGGGUAUGGCUGUUCGCCAUUUAAAGUGGUACGCGAGCUGGGUUUAGAACGUCGUGAGACAGUUCGGUCCCUAUCUGCCGUGGGCGCUGGAGAACUGAGGGGGGCUGCUCCUAGUACGAGAGGACCGGAGUGGACGCAUCACUGGUGUUCGGGUUGUCAUGCCAAUGGCACUGCCCGGUAGCUAAAUGCGGAAGAGAUAAGUGCUGAAAGCA
This 1598-nucleotide ribosomal RNA is filed under the name Salmonella enterica. RNAcentral's name for it is "partial 23S ribosomal RNA". It matches the Rfam family "Bacterial large subunit ribosomal RNA", at positions 1200 to 2779 of the family's 2925-position model. The record is from RNAcentral. Lineage: Bacteria; Pseudomonadati; Pseudomonadota; Gammaproteobacteria; Enterobacterales; Enterobacteriaceae.